UGCAAUUUCAAGUAAUAUUUCUACAAAGAU
This 30-nucleotide small RNA is filed under the name Bombyx mori (domestic silkworm). RNAcentral's name for it is "ovarian small RNA-33430". Lineage: Eukaryota; Metazoa; Arthropoda; Insecta; Lepidoptera; Bombycidae. The record is from RNAcentral.